UUGAGGUACCAAAGCUUCUGGAGGCUUCCUCUAUUCAUCUGCGUACGAUUAUCUGGGUACGAUUCUCUUCUCUGUUCGUGUUCCUCAUCUUCCCUCGUCUCCUUUGAUUUUUUUGACCUAAUAUAUAUUUUGUUUUGCAUGUGAGGUACCAAAGCUUCUGGAGGCUAAUACGGGGAGGAAUAUUCUUGAAACAGAUCAUCCAGAAGGUCCUUUUGGCACUAAGCUCAAUUCCCUCAAAGGAGACGAAGGAAAGCGACAACUGCAUUUUAUUUGUGUGUGACUCCAUUUCUCUGUUUUAAGAUUAUCAAGCGAUGGACAAAGAGUGGACUAAAUUACCGUGGUUUAGUCAAGAGUACAUCAACGGUGUUACUCGAUUUUUAGACUUUGCCUUCACUAAAGGAAGUCCUCAAGGAGGUGAACUUCUAUGCCCUUGUGCUAAGUGUAAAAAUAUAUAUUGGAAAACCAGGGAUAUUAUUAGGGAUCACCUAAUAGCCAAAGGUUUUCUAGACGGUUAUGACGUUUGGGUGCACCAUGGGGAGAAACUACAAAGGUCUAUGGAAAUUGGUGAUGGGAUGGAAGAUCAAGAUGGAUCACAUGAUGACAUUCCUGGCUUAUUGCAUGACAUAUAUGGAGAUAGGGCAGAAGCACACGGAGUUGAUGAAGGUCCCAAUGACGAGGCUAGAACGUUUUACAGUUUGAUUAAAGAGGCGGAACAAGA
Vicia villosa (hairy vetch) is the source of this 718-nucleotide long non-coding RNA. RefSeq lists it as uncharacterized. The record is from RefSeq and is a predicted model, not a curated record. Lineage: Eukaryota; Viridiplantae; Streptophyta; Magnoliopsida; Fabales; Fabaceae. The transcript has 4 exons.